UUAAUUACUGGCGGCGGCUUACACAUGCAGUCGAACGGUAGCAGGAGAAAGCUUGCUUUCUUGCUGACGAGUGGCGGACGGGUGAGUAAUGCUUGGGAAUCUGGCUUAUGGAGGGGGAUAACUACUGGAAACGGUAGCUAAUACCGCGUAAUAUCUUUGGAUUAAAGGGUGGGAUCUUUGGACCACUUGCCAUAAGAUGAGCCCAAGUGGGAUUAGGUAGUUGGUGGGGUAAAGGCCUACCAAGCCGACGAUCUCUAGCUGGUCUGAGAGGAUGGCCAGCCACACUGGAACUGAGACACGGUCCAGACUCCUACGGGAGGCAGCAGUGGGGAAUAUUGCACAAUGGGGGGAACCCUGAUGCAGCCAUGUCGCGUGAAUGAAGAAGGCCUUCGGGUUGUAAAGUUCUUUCGGUGAUGAGGAAGGCAGAUAAGUUAAUAGCUUGUUUGAUUGACGUUAGUCACAGAAGAAGCACCGGCUAACUCCGUGCCAGCAGCCGCGGUAAU
Molecule: ribosomal RNA, 503 nt
Filed under: uncultured bacterium
Lineage: Bacteria
Description: bacterial SSU rRNA
Rfam family: Bacterial small subunit ribosomal RNA
Source: RNAcentral